GAACGCAAGUUGCGCCCGAAGCCUUCUGGCCGAGGGCACGCCUGCCUGGGCGUCACGCAUCGCGUCGCCCCCCUCCAACGUCCCUAGGGACUCGCGAGAGGGAGCGGAAAAUGGUCUCCCGUGUGCCUUCUGGCCCGCGGCUGGCCUAAAUGAGAUCCUGCAUCGACGGAUGUCACGACCAGUGGUGGUUGAAAACUCAAUCGAGCUGUCGUGCGUCAACUCGUCGCUUGCCGUUUCCUCGAACCGAACGGCGCCUCGCGCGCCCACGACCGCGACCCCAGGUCAGGCGGGACUACCCGCUGAGUUUAAG
This 310-nucleotide unclassified non-coding RNA is filed under the name Veronica chamaedrys. RNAcentral describes it as "sequence contains 5.8S rRNA gene". The record is from RNAcentral. Lineage: Eukaryota; Viridiplantae; Streptophyta; Magnoliopsida; Lamiales; Plantaginaceae.